GAGAGCGUAGUACAACGGAGAGUUGUAUGCUACGUUCGGGAAGGAUGAAUCACUCUCGAAAAGGAAUAUAUUGAUUCUUUCCCAAUUGGUUGAACUGUAGGUACGAUGAUUUACUUCAU
This is a non-coding RNA of Gossypium hirsutum (cotton), 119 nucleotides long. The record is from Rfam. Lineage: Eukaryota; Viridiplantae; Streptophyta; Magnoliopsida; Malvales; Malvaceae.